Molecule: ribosomal RNA, 298 nt
Filed under: uncultured bacterium
Lineage: Bacteria
Description: partial 16S ribosomal RNA
Rfam family: Bacterial small subunit ribosomal RNA
Source: RNAcentral
ACUCCGUACGGGAGGCAGGCAGUGGGGGAAUAUUGCACAAUGGGGGAAACCCCUGAUGCAGCCAUGCCGCGUGUGUGAAGAAGGCCUUCGGGUUGUAAAAGCACUUUCAGUAGGGAGGAAGGUAGUGUAGUUAACACCUGCACUAUUUGACGUUACCUACAGAAGAAGCACCGGCUAACUCCGUGCCAGCAGCCGCGGUAAUACGGAGGGUGCGAGCGUUAAUCGGAAUUACUGGGCGUAAAGCGCAUGCAGGCGGCCCUGUUUAAAGUCAGAUGUGAAAGCCCGGGGGCUUAACCUC